RNAcentral lists this long non-coding RNA (1274 nucleotides) under Marmota monax (woodchuck). The record is from RNAcentral. Lineage: Eukaryota; Metazoa; Chordata; Mammalia; Rodentia; Sciuridae.
AAGGUAACAAAAUCAGUGUCAAUUCAUGUCCUUGGUAAGAGUUCCUUUCAUCAUCUUGUUCCCCACUUUGGAAUUUGGUAGCAAUAUAAUUGACACCAACUGUUUUGGGAUCUAGCCAAAAAUGGGACUGAAAUAGAUAAGGUUUUAUUUCCCAUUAUAAUAAUAUAGAUAUUAUUAUUUGCAUUUCAUCUGUUUAUAAGGAGUUGUGUUAGUCCCCUUUUCAUUGUGACCAAAAUACCUGACAACAGCCAACUUAGAGGAGGGAAAAUUUAUACUAGGCUCAGUGUUUCAGAGGUUCUGUCCAUGGUCAGCCAUUUCCAUUGUUCUGGGCCUAAGAAGGAAGAACAUCAUGGUUGAAGGGCAUGACAGAGGAAAACUGCUUAGUUCAUAACAUCAGGGGAGGGGAGAGAGAGAGAGAGAGAGAGAGAGAGAGAGAGAGAGAGAGAGAGAGAGAGAGAGAGAGAGCCAGCCAGCCAGGACUGAACAUAGUUCAAGGCCACACCCUAGUGUGACAUAGUUCCUCCAGACAUGCCCACCCACCUAUAAUUACUACCUAGUACUCCAUUCAAAUUAUCAAUCCAGCAAAUAGAUUAAUCCACUGAUAUGGUUACAGCUCUACUAAUCCAAUGUUCACCUCUGAACAUUGUUGCAUUGCCUAACACAUGAGCUUUUCAGGGGAUACCUCCAAUAUUCAAACCAUAACUGCUGUAUAUUUUAUUUUCUGAUUUCAGUCUUCCCACCCUCUCUAUUGUUCAUGCUCAUGCUUUGAUUUAUUCUAGUUAUAAAUUUUGAAAAGUGUGUCUGCAGGGCAGUUGGGAAGGGCUGAGAAUAAUUAGUCUCACUUGCAAGGUGCUUUCAAGGCAGGUUGUUGAGGAUGAUCAAACAAAGCAGGAAUACCUUUAUUCAUCUAGUGGAAGAAGAGCUGAUUUGGUUGAUAAGGAAGACCCAGUAAAGGUUGAAAGUAGGGUUGCUAUGAAUAAGAGUUCCAUUUCCUCUUUCCUUUUCAUGGCUUCCUCUUCCUCCUAGGUCCUCCAUACUGAUCAUUUCUAAAGACCGAGCCCUAAAUUUCUGGUCCUCAUCACACAGCAUAUGAGACCAUGCCAGCUAGAAGGGAUCUCUCCUGUUCUGGUCAUUGAUGCCAGCAGUCUCAACCCCUUUUGUGGACUUUAACAGAGGCUAAAUUUCCCUUUCCCCUUACCUGUGUGUGUGUGUGUGUGUGUGUGUGUGUGUGAGAGAGAGAGAGAGAGAGAGAGAGAGAGAGAGAUGGGGUUGGG